CUUCACCUUUCGCCAAUGACUGGUCUGAGGAAGGAAUUGUGAUGCAGCUUGAUAAUCUGUCAGGGGAUAUUGAGUGAAGAGAAUAAGACAAACAUUUCAUGGAAGCAAAAUAAUCAAACCAAUGAACAAACAAAUCUACAAAAUCUACACACUUUAGACAGAAAAAAAAAGUCUCUAUUAUAGAACAUAGUGACUGCAAAAUUGCUGUCUUCAGCACAAAUAAACUUUAUCGUUAUGUCAGAAACUUUAAUUCUGACAGCAGAGCAUAGUUACAAACCACAGUGUCUAUCUGUAAUCAUUGAUGAAUUUUCGAUAUCCUAGUUUCAGACUACUCCAUGCCCAGAAAAAUGCUGAGACCAUCAGUUUGCCUUGGUAUGGCAUCGAAGUCAAAUGGCAACUGGCUUAUUUACUUUCUCUAAUUCAUAUGGCUGAAGAAGCUUCUUAAAAUAUUCAGUACUAAUCUGUUUCUCUGAGAGACUGAUGCCCACCAUACCUACACUAUUGUCUAAUUAACAGGAGAGAUAAAACACUUGUGUAACCAGGGCCAGCCAUGAGCAAGGUGGAAAGAUACUUCCCAGGCCAACUGAAGAGAGUAGAGGUUUUUAUUAGUGGUUAUAUCUAAAGAAGAGUUAAGUAUAGGGAGGAACUAGUGCUUGGAAACUACAGACUACAAGGGACUGACUGUAGAUAUGAACUUUAAACAAGAGGUAGAAGUUUCACUUUUGUUGUGGCAAAUAUUUCCAAGAACUUUCUUCUGAACUUAUAAAUAACUCUGACUUCCUUCUGUUCAGCUUCCACUGACUGUUCUCCUUUCCAAGGCUGAUUGUGUCUAUGUGCUACAGUUGUUAACUGCUCUUGCCUCAGUCCCUAUGGAAAUGGAAAUAAAUCUGAGAUGAUACUGAAAGGUUGCUAGGAAACAGCCACAUGAUGAUGAGGAGGAGGAGACCAGUUUCCUGGUCUCUCUUCAGGGUAUUUCUCUGCUGUUUGUCGAUCAGGAUGACCACUGAUGAUUUGCCAAUUCCAGGUACCAGAAGAACUGUAAUUGAAGAUCACCUGUUUAUUUGUCUACCAUCUUUGGGUUUGACCCUUUCCAUGAGAAACCUGCCAUUAUAUUUGUCUGAGUUUGAAAAAAAAAAGUUUAUUUUUCCUGUUUUCAUCAGGCAAUGUUUAUAUCUUAGGAAGUAAAAGUCUCCCUGGUCAAGCUCCCUCCACACAUGCAUCGAAAUAUCUGGUAUCGAUUUUGAUCCCUUCUAUUUAUGUAAAAUUUAUUCUAUCAGGAAAAUGAUCAGAAAAGCCUUAGUGUGAUGAUCAGAAGAGGGUUGGUUGUUCUUGGGAAAAGUUAAGAGGCCUAUUAAAGAAUAGAAUGAGAGGGUUUGUUAUUACUUUUUACGAAUAUAACAGAGUAAACAUGCGAGUUAAAAGACAUACAUUGAAGAAUGAUUAAAAAAUUGAUAAUUUAGUGACUAAAUUCUACUAAGUACCUAUUAUAUCUUUAAUUCAAACUGCAAAACUUCUAUUUUUCUGUUAAUUAAGGUUCCGGACUCGUUCUGAAUUCAGAUGAAAUUUGGAUUGCAACCUCAGACCUGAUUCAUGACCUCUUUCUAUAAAAAAAGAUCUUGUAAGGACUCAGUCAAACACUAUUAGUUAUAACAUUUUUU
Molecule: long non-coding RNA, 1658 nt
Filed under: Anser brachyrhynchus (Pink-footed goose)
Lineage: Eukaryota; Metazoa; Chordata; Aves; Anseriformes; Anatidae
Description: lncRNA (ENSABRG00000003130.1)
Source: RNAcentral